GUGGGUACAUUUGUCAUUUCAUAUUUUCUUUUCAUCAUUUGGCUAUUAUUUUUUUUUUUGUGUCCACACGGAUAGACACAAAAAAAUAAAAAAAAAUAAAAUUAAUAGCCAAAUGAUGAAAAGAAAAUAUGAAAUGACAAAUGUACCCAC
RNAcentral lists this small RNA (150 nucleotides) under Mytilus galloprovincialis (Mediterranean mussel). The record is from RNAcentral. Lineage: Eukaryota; Metazoa; Mollusca; Bivalvia; Mytilida; Mytilidae.